CUUCCUUCCCAUAAAAAAACGUCUCCUUCCUUCUCAGAUAAUCCCCUCCGUCCCAGAUACGCUGCCGCCGGAGAGUUCGCCACCUGUGCCACUGCAGCAAAUGACGCCGGUAUGGGCGGUGGUUCGGCCUUGAGAACGCGGGUCGUCCGGCGGACCGCCCCCCUAUGCCUGGAUCCGACCUCCCGUCCACAUGCUUCAUUGGCGGCGGUGGCAUCUCACCCCCGCCGAGGACCCUGCCACCGACGUCUAGGAAGCACAGGCGCAGCGACCACGAUAGGGGGCCAUCGCUAUCGAGCCGCACGAUCCGGAGGUAGGCUGCGGUCGACGCAGUGUGGACGGUGCGGCGCGUGGACGCAACCUUGGCGAUGUGGAGCAGACGCGAGAGGUGGUCCUCGCGCUACGCCGCGCGAGCUACUGCCGCGCCCCGGACAACGACGACGAUUACCCACACCCGAAGGUGAGGCCUCCUAGCAAGCGGCGACGAGAAUUCAACCUUGGAGUAGGAGCGCACAGAGUGUUUUUUUGUUUUACGGUGUCCGUGUCGUGCAUUGGGGGUAUGAUUGGAGUGGGCUUACAUGGGGCUCGCCAUCGAUGAUGCCACUUCUCGGCUCUUGUCGAUGCGUGUUACCUUACAUCUGUUGUUGUUCGUGGCGAUUAGAAUGGGUAUUACGCUAGCGAUUGCAUCUGUUUGCUCUUGCUAGGACACGGGAUUGUCUGUCGUGUCCGCUUGUGCGAGAUUUGCGGGUGUUGGAUGGCAAUUGGUUCGUCCAUUAUUGAUCACUGACUCUCGGUUGGAUUUUCUCUUUCGCUGCUUUGUAGGCACUAGAAUAUUACUUGUCAGUUCUUCUAGGAUUGGUGAAAGAAGGUGAGUAGUUUUUGGAAUUUGAUUUUUUGUUAGUGUUUUGGUUUUAUUUUUUUACCCCAAAACCGUAGAACAAUUGUUCUACCGUAAUUUUCAUUAAUAAUCAUAUAUGUACAAGGGAUAAAAAAAGAAAACAAAAGGUCUAACCAACUCCCGUUUUCUCUAACAUGGAAAAUAAACCAGCUACUAAGAACUAAGAGAGAUGGGAGUUCAUCCAUUGCUCUAGGCAACCGAUGUUCUUAUGCUUGGUUCUAUGUUUCACUAGAUAGAGAUCAUGCUACAUUCCAUGCUUUCAGGCUUCCAGGGACGUGAUACGUCUUCAACGUAUCUAUAAUUUUUAUUGCUUCAUGCUAUAUUAUCUACUAUUUUAAAUAUUAUUGGGCUUUAUUAUCUACUUUUAUAUUAUUUUUGAGACUAACCUAUUAACCGAAGGCCCAGCCCAGAAUUGUUGUUUUUUGCCUGUUUUAGGUUUCGAAAAAAAGGAAUAUCAAACGGAGUCCAAACGGAAUGAAACCUUUAGGAACGUGAUUUUCUCACUGAAUACAACUCAGGAAACUUGCACCCUACGUCAAGCCAGCUAACAGGAGCCCACGAGGUAGGGGGUGCGCCUCCCCCCCUAGGCGCGCCCUCCACCCUCGUGGGGCCCCUGUUGCUCCACCGACGUACUUCUUCCUCCUAUAUAUAUCCACGUACCCCCAAACGAUCAGAACAGGAGCCAAAACCCUGAUUCCACCGCCGUAACUUUAUGUAUCCACAAGAUCCCAUCUUGGGGUCUGUUCCGGAGCUCCGCGGAGGGGGCAUCGAUCACGGAGGGCUUCUACAUCAACACCAUAGCCUCUCCGAUGAAGUGUGAGUAGUUUACUUCAGACCUACGGGUCCAUAGUUAGUACCUAGAGGGCUUCUUCUCUCUUUUUGGAUCUCAAUACAAUGUUCUCCCCCUCUCUUGUGGAGAUCUAUUCGAUGUAAUCUUCUUUUGGUGUGUUUGUUGAGACCGAUGAAUUGUGGGUUUAUGAUCAAGUCUAUCUAUGAAUAAUAUUUGAAUCUUCUCUGAA
Molecule: ribosomal RNA, 1914 nt
Filed under: Triticum aestivum (bread wheat)
Lineage: Eukaryota; Viridiplantae; Streptophyta; Magnoliopsida; Poales; Poaceae
Description: partial small subunit ribosomal RNA
Source: RNAcentral